AUGGAGCAGCCCCAACUGUUUCAAUAGCUCUGGCUAAAGCCAAGGCAGAGACUGACACCUUGAGGGUGAAAUGUCAAUAUCUGCAGGAGAAAAUAGAAGAUUUGACAAAAGAACGAGAUUUCCUUAGACAACAGCUGUCAGAAGGUAGUUGUUGUGAAAGUUUCGUUGUUUUAGUGUUAAAAUGUAUAACUACUUUUUUUCUGUUAUUUGGAGUGAAGUUAACAUGCAUACUAAAGUCACAAAUGCAGGCAUGCAAGUAUAUGAGUAUUAACUGUCCCCCCUCCCCCCCCAUUAAAAUGGACAACAUGCCUGACAAAAAUAAAGAUAAGCCUGCAGACAUAGCAAAAAAAAUGAAAAUCUCUCAAGAAGAUUCAGAAAGUGACCCCUCUGAUUCUGACUCUUCUGACACUUCUGACUCGGAGUCAUGUAGCUCAGACUCUUCAAGGGAGAAGAAGAAAAGAAAGAAGAAGGCAAAGAAAGUAAAGAAAAGAUUAAAAAAACAGAAGAAAAACAAGCAGAUGAGUAAAUUCUAUCAAAAGGUUACUGAACCAUAGCAGGUGGUAAAGCGGUACAAAUCAGUUCUGGAGAUUUUCAAAAGAGGAAGCAACAUGGCAGAUGCAUUCAGAAAGUAUGGUGUGGACCGGAACACAAUUGUGCAGAGUGCAGCUAUUGCUGAACUGGUGAUUGCAGCACCAGAGAAAUAUGAGGAAAUCAAUGACAAACAUGCAAAGGGAGAGAAAUUAUCAAACAUAGCCCAGAAAUGUCAAGAUGCAGUUAUGGCCGAUGAGAACAUUGCAAACAAAAUACAAACGAUGAAAGCUGAUGGGAAGUUGCUUCCAAUAAAAAAAUAGUUAAUUUCCAUGUAAAAAAAGAAGAAGAAAAAACAGUCAAAGAAGGACUUUAAAACCCUAAGAUAAAAAAUAUCCAAAUACAUUUUUCCCCAUGUUUAAUUUCAGUUAUGUAUCUUUCCUUGUUUAGGCCUGAAUUGAUAGUGCUGCACAUGGUUUGUUUCUGUGUAGAAACAAGUUUUUGUUCUUAAAUAUUGUGCUUUGUUUUGUAUUUUUUUGUGCUGGCAAAGAUUGCCAAUGUUGACCAGUUAUGUAAGGUAAUAAAGGUUCUGAAAAUGUAAGUGAUGAAUGGCUUUCACUCAU
This is an RNA transcript of Sinocyclocheilus grahami, 1151 nucleotides long. It is a transcript of the gene named coiled-coil domain-containing protein 106-like, with no coding region annotated. The transcript has 2 exons. The record is from RefSeq and is a predicted model, not a curated record. Lineage: Eukaryota; Metazoa; Chordata; Actinopteri; Cypriniformes; Cyprinidae.